Molecule: ribosomal RNA, 385 nt
Filed under: uncultured Micrococcus sp.
Lineage: Bacteria; Bacillati; Actinomycetota; Actinomycetes; Micrococcales; Micrococcaceae
Description: bacterial SSU rRNA
Rfam family: Bacterial small subunit ribosomal RNA
Source: RNAcentral
CGGUUUCCCCUUUGGGGCGGGUUCACAGGUGGUGCAUGGUUGUCGUCAGCUCGUGUCGUGAGAUGUUGGGUUAAGUCCCGCAACGAGCGCAACCCUCGUUCCAUGUUGCCAGCACGUAAUGGUGGGGACUCAUGGGAGACUGCCGGGGUCAACUCGGAGGAAGGUGAGGACGACGUCAAAUCAUCAUGCCCCUUAUGUCUUGGGCUUCACGCAUGCUACAAUGGCCGGUACAAUGGGUUGCGACACUGUGAGGUGGAGCUAAUCCCAAAAAGCCGGUCUCAGUUCGGAUUGGGGUCUGCAACUCGACCCCAUGAAGUCGGAGUCGCUAGUAAUCGCAGAUCAGCAACGCUGCGGUGAAUACGUUCCCGGGUCUUGUACACACCGA